This 326-nucleotide ribosomal RNA is filed under the name uncultured eukaryote. Its description in RNAcentral is "partial 18S ribosomal RNA". It matches the Rfam family "Eukaryotic small subunit ribosomal RNA", at positions 1470 to 1796 of the family's 1831-position model. The record is from RNAcentral.
CCCCUAGAUGUUCUGGGCCGCACGCGCGCUACACUGAACAGUUCAACAAGUCUUAACCUUGGCCGAUAGGUCUGGGUAAUCUUUGAACGCUGUUCGUGAUUGGGAUAGACCUUUGCAAUUAUGGGUCUUCAACGAGGAAUUCCUAGUAAACGCAAGUCAUCAGCUUGCAUUGAUUACGUCCCUGCCCUUUGUACACACCGCCCGUCGCUCCUACCGAUUGAAUGGUCCGGUGAGGCUUUGGGAGAGCUAAAUAGACUGUGCUUCACAGAUUAUUUGGCUUGAACUUAGUCAAACCUUACUAUUUAGAGGAAGGAGAAGUCGUAACA